Molecule: long non-coding RNA, 555 nt
Organism: Tupaia belangeri chinensis (Chinese tree shrew)
Lineage: Eukaryota; Metazoa; Chordata; Mammalia; Scandentia; Tupaiidae
Exons: 3
Source: RefSeq, a predicted model, not a curated record
UCUGGAGAGGGAGAGAGAGGCCCACCAGUAGCGUCUUUACCUUAUGACUCAGUCCCAGUCUCAGCUGACCCGGGUCACAGGUGUGCACAUCCCGGUGAGCUGCCAGCAUGCUCAGGAAGUUCCGGGGAGGCAAACACAGGGCCUUUCCUACGCGGCGUUCCCUCUUCCUGGCCCCAAGAACUCUUCAGGGAACUUUCCUGGCUGCCAAGGUCUUUAUCACCUUGGUAUUAGCGGCUGAAUGAAUGCAUGACAACAGAACGGUGAUGAGAGUGGAGGAGGAGUGAGAGCUUCAGGUCAGCGUAGUGUUUAUGAGAACGUCCAACAGAAGACAGCCAGAAUCAAACAGUUACACAAAAGCCCAGCAGAUGUGCAGAGAAGAACAUAAAACACUAGCCACGAAAGCAGAGCAGUGAAGAGGCUAUCUGACGGUGAAUUUCACCAUCAGAGUCGUCAGAGGCCUGGUAAAUCAGAGGCUGUGAGUGGAAAAUUACAGCACUUCUGCCAAGAUAGUAAAACCACCUGAUUCAGAACAAACUAGAUUUUCUGUGCAGGGUA